GUUCACACAUGGGUGGGCCAAUUUGGCGACGGCGGAGCCGGACGGCGGUCUCAAGCUCCGUUUAUGAUCUGUCGCUUCCGCUGCGUAAGCAAUCGACAAACCCUUGAGGGAGUCUCAUCGAGAUUCUUUCGGCGUUGCGUUUGAUCGUUCUAAGAAGCGGGCUCCAACAGUCUCGGUGUGGACUCUUUGAGUUGUGGGUUUCUUGGAUGGGGUUUCGUUACCGUCCCCUUUUGAUUUCCGGAGCAGCCGAGGCUUUGUCGGAGUUGAUCGUCUGGAUGGAUUUCAGUUCUGAGACUUGUGCACCGUAGGGUUUCUUGAACUGACCACAUUAAUGACGAUACUCUUCUCGAAUGGAUUUAUUUGGCGUUUCUGUUGAUGACGGUGCACGCCAAAAGAUUAUAUCAUCGGACUAUACCAUUGAUCCGAGUACACAUGGAGAGGAUGAGCCUUGGUAUUGCGGUUACUUUCCUCCUUGACAAGAUGGAUUACCAAGAUUCGAGUCAUAGAAACAGUGUUUCUGCUUAUAAGGCAUGGGGUCUACGCCAACGGACAUCUCAGUGUUGCCCAACAUACAUGUGUGUGUUUUUGGUAAAGUGUUAGUCCCUUAUGCAUAGAAUAUUAUGAUAUGUUCAACAUGGGGCCGCAUGACAGUCCGUGAUGCAAGUGUUGAGUUACCUAGCAGUUAUAGGUGGGAUUUGUGGAUACUGGAUCACAUUCUUUCUCUAGUAACAAGAUAAUUAUUGCAGGCCACCAUGUCAUCUGAUAGAACAGACCUUGGCUUCAUUGCCAUCUCAUACUCGAGAUUUCCUCUGGUUGCUUCUCCAGAGAAGCUCUACAAAAUCUUCGAAAGGUGUCAGAAAAAGCUUCUUUGCUAAUCACAGGUUCUUCGACGUAUUAAAGAGUAACCGCUUGUCGGUGUGAUGAAAGACCUCCUUUUAUAGGUUGUCAUUUAAGCACUGCUAUAAAUAUAUAUACAUAUUUCAUCAUGUGAGCGGUGUGAUUUUAAUCCUUUGUUUCUGUUCUCGUGUCGCUGUAGCAGCUAUUAAUCCCUUCAGACGUUGACCAAUAAUGAGGUCUUGUUGCCCACUAUGUUUCGUGCCAUAAAUCGUGUUCUUAAGUAAUAUGUCGAUGUCAUGUAUACACUAUUUAAGGUCCAACCCAUGGUCUCGGUCA
RNA transcript from Musa acuminata AAA Group (dessert banana), 1173 nucleotides. RefSeq lists it as uncharacterized. NCBI's taxonomy places the organism in Eukaryota, Viridiplantae, Streptophyta, Magnoliopsida, Zingiberales, Musaceae. The record is from RefSeq and is a predicted model, not a curated record. The transcript is spliced from 6 exons.